AACGAACGCUGGCGGCAUGCCUAACACAUGCAAGUCGAACGAGAUCUUCGGGUCUAGUGGCGCACGGGUGCGUAACGCGUGGGAAUCUGCCCUUUGGUUCGGAAUAACAGUUGGAAACGACUGCUAAUACCGGAUGAUGACGAAAGUCCAAAGAUUUAUCGCCAGAGGAUGAGCCCGCGUAGGAUUAGCUAGUUGGGGUGGUAAAGGCGCACCAAGGCGACGAUCCUUAGCUGGUCUGAGAGGAUGAUCAGCCACACUGGGACUGAGACACGGCCCAGACUCCUACGGGAGGGAGCAGUGGGGAAUAUUGGACAAUGGGCGAAAGCCUGAUCCAGCAAUGCCGCGUGAGUGAUGAAGGCCUUAGGGUUGUAAAGCUCUUUUACCCGGGAUGAUAAUGACGGUACCGGGAGAAUAAGCUCCGGCUAACUCCGUGCCAGCAGCCGCAGUAA
This 449-nucleotide ribosomal RNA is filed under the name uncultured bacterium. RNAcentral's name for it is "partial 16S ribosomal RNA". It matches the Rfam family "Bacterial small subunit ribosomal RNA", at positions 29 to 523 of the family's 1533-position model. The record is from RNAcentral.